Molecule: ribosomal RNA, 437 nt
Filed under: Ancylometes bogotensis
Lineage: Eukaryota; Metazoa; Arthropoda; Arachnida; Araneae; Ctenidae
Description: partial 16S ribosomal RNA
Source: RNAcentral
UGUUAUAAGAAUUUAUUUAUAAUAAGAUCUGCUCAAUGAUUUUUAAAUAGCCGCUUAUAGUGCUAAGGUAGCAUAAUCAUUUGUCUUUUAAUUAAAGACUAGAACAAAAGAUUUAACGUUUAAAUUUAUUUCUUAAAACUAAUUAUUUUAAAUUAUCUUAAAUGUAAAAAGACAUUUAUUAAAAAAAAAGACGACAAGACCCUAUUGAACUUAACUUAAGUUUAACUGGGGCAGUUAAUAAUUUAAUAUUUUUAUUUAAGAAUUUAUAUAAAAGAUCCAAUAUUAUUGAUUUUAUAAUUAAGUUACCAUAGGGAUAACAGCGUAAUAAUUCUUUAAAGAACUUAUUAAAAGAAGAGAUUGCGACCUCGAUGUUGAAUAAUAACCUGAUUUACGCAAUAGUUAAUUAAGGAAGUCUGUUCGACUUUUAAAAAAUUACA